RNAcentral lists this small nucleolar RNA (123 nucleotides) under Meriones unguiculatus (Mongolian gerbil). Its description in RNAcentral is "Small nucleolar RNA SNORA17 (ENSMUGG00000026892.1)". It matches the Rfam family "Small nucleolar RNA SNORA17". From Rfam's summary of the family: snoRNA ACA 17 belongs to the H/ACA family of snoRNAs and is predicted to guide pseudouridylation of the 28S rRNA at positions U4659 and U4598. The record is from RNAcentral. Lineage: Eukaryota; Metazoa; Chordata; Mammalia; Rodentia; Muridae.
AAUGCCUAAGACACACAGAUGGCUGCUGUGUCCUGUGUGCGUCAGCAGGCGGCAGAGGGGAGAAAGGCUAUGUCUACACUCAGCGUUCCCACCUGUGACGGUGAGUGAUGAAUAGCUCCCUGA